GCAUACUGGAAAAAGACCAAAUACAAGCCGUCAGGAAAGGCACCAGCACUAAUGUUCGCUGCUCCCACCUGUCAACUGGAAACACUGGUGCUCAACCAGAACUCUUGUUCUCAUUGCAAAUUUUAAAUUAGAUACCUCUAUUUAGCCCUGGAUUCAGAGCUGAGCUUUACUUAUUUUUGUUUCCACUUAAAAAUGAAUUUUUCUUGUCUUUUUGUGGUUGGUUUUUUUUUUUAUUAAUGCCAGCACUUAGAUAAAAUGGAGUGUAAAGCUGAGUUGUAGUUAGAUUUGCUGUUGCAGUUAGAUCUGAUAGGUCCAGAUCAGCUGAAGUGGUCCUGGUUUGGAUUUUUCUUUUCUUUAAAAAGAACAAAGGAUUGUAGUUUCAGCAAACAGCAACUAGAGUGAAGUAUUUUUAAUAGAUGUACCUUAUUACUAUCACAGAGCAAAAGCACUCCCAUUAAAUUCAAAUGCAGAUUCCCCACAGCUUUUUUUAAACACUGGAACAGUUUCAACACUGCAAUUGUGAGAAGUGGAAAGAGGAUGACUUUUCACUAAGUAUAAAGCUAGCACACAAAUAAGUACCAUCUAACUUCUAUUAAUGUCAUUGGGCAACUUAGAGGGUUAAUUUGCUUAACCAACUGAGGUCACUUUUCCUUUUUCUGCAGUCAGUUCAGUUGUCCACACUGACCACUCUGCUUUCAUGCUACUUUCAUACAGACAUAAAGGUCUCUCCUAUUCUCCCAGUCUGUAGGUAUCUGUAGUGAUACUGACACUGCUGCUACCACUAUCAUGCAGGUUACAACAUGCAUGCAUGGCUGCUUACAGAUGCUGUGACACUUCCUUGAGGACAGAUACAACCAAGGUAUAAAUUAUUAUUUCUGGGAUAAUAGGUGUGCAGGAAGUUUCAGCUCUAAAUGCCAAAAUGCAAAUCACCCAUGCUGGGAACAGGGUGCUAGGAAUACUGGGACAGAAACUUGACCUUCUUCUGGAGGAGUUUGGUUUAUAAGCCAUAAAGAGUUAACGUGAGCCUUCACUUACAGUGUCUGCCCCUGCUGCUUAAUCCUGUGCUAAUGGCUUUCUUGCAGGGUGCUGAGGUGGAACAAGGCAUCCUCCUGAAAAUGCAUGGUCUGCUGUGCCCUGAUGCCCUGCUGCGUAAUGCAGCCACCCAGGUAUGUGUAUGCUUCCAGUCCCACUGGCCUGCUGGAAUUUCCCAUGUUCAUAGCCCUGUUAACACUUCAAUCAUACGAGGUGUUGAAGAUCAGCUCCAAGCCUAACCUCAUUAACAAAACCAGUAAGAAUCUACAAGCUGCUGAUUGAGUGAAACCUGAUGUCUAUGGGAAAGUGACCAGAGAUGACUAAAGAAGGGAGAGUGUAAAAACAAGACGAGCAAAUAGUGGUGGCUUUCCCUUCAUUCUGAGAAGGACCUGCUUUUGUGUGCUUCCUAACCCAUUGCUGUGGGUUUCAUCUGGUAAGGAGCCCUACCAGUGAUGGAAGACCAUCAACAGCAAAAACUGACUUGCUGUCUUCAUACUGCUUGGCAAAGGUCACUGAUCUUUACUAUACCCCUCAAAAGCCUGCUCCAUCUCUCCCUGUGUAGAGGUUAUAUGAUACCCUUGAGCUACGUGGCCUGUGCACCUUUUCCACCCCUACUGUGUCCUUGAGACUGGCAGCCAGGGCUGUGCACAGUGCUAACAGUGCAGGUGUGCCACUAAUGCCUGGGCUGGCAUGACUGUUUUAUGCUUUUUCAUUGCCUUUCUCAUCAUUUCUAGAAUUCCAAGCUGGAAAGUAUUACGUGCUUGUUUUCACAGUUUAGUUUUAGUUCAUGGUUUAGCACUGUAUUCUCUUUCUAAGAGGACAUUAUCAGCUUGGAACUAGUCACUACAUACAAGACCUAGCAUGCCUUGUUUUUGCCAUGAAUGUCACUCUGCGUGUGCUGCUCUGAGCUUCACUUUGAUAGGAUAGCUGUCUGAGUGUCCUAAAGCAUUUGGAAAACAUCAGUUAAGCUUGCAAGUGCUCAGCAGAGGUAGGUCAGUAUUAUCAACCCUGUAAAUGAAGGCAGGCAAGAACACAGGAUUAAAGUAACUUUUCUGAAGCCACGUGUGAAAUCAGUGGCAGAGCUAGGAAUAGACUGCCAAGUCCAAACCCCUCCUGCUCUAGCCAGCAGACUCUCCAUCUAGUAUACAAGCAGCUUGAGAUACAAGUAAUGCUUCUGGAAAGAAGAGGUCUGCCUGCUCGUGUAUGUGUGUUAGCAGUGUUCAGGGACCCAGCUAGGACUGAGACUCUUUUGUGCUUUUCCCUCCUCCAGUGCUUCAAAACAUCUGUCCCUGCUUUUAAGAUCCCUCCAGCCUCCCAAAGCAUUCACUGCAGCUUGGGCACAGAUGCUCAGCCUAGUCUAGGACCUCAACCAUGGUGAGGUCCAGCCCAGACAACAGCGAGCCUCCAUGCUUCCCCCAGCCUCACACAGGUGAAGAAACCGGUUCAUGCCACAGCCAGCUGCCCAGCAGAAACCACUUACAAACUGCACUCUGCCAGCAGUGCUGGGUCUGCUGCUACUGCUCACCUGGGAAAGGACCAGUGAAUGUCCUGUCAUUUCAUAUAGAGCAUGUGAGCUCUGUGCAUAUGUGCACACAGCAUGAUGUAAGCAGACACCUGUGUGUAAUGGAUAUCUAUUCAAUUAAAACCAAAACAAACUGCAUUUUUAUCAACCUCCCUCCCCCUUUACUAGAGUCUGUAGUGUUGAAAAUAGGAAGUGUGAUCUUACUUAGGUUUAGUAGAUCUGCUUAAAAUCCUUAAAAUGACAUAGGUUUUUUAAAUUAAAGCUCUUAAGAGGCCAUAGAGGCAGCACUGGACAAUAUACAAGAGUAAGUUUGGAUACAAUAACAUGAACAUGCAAUUUCUGUUUGCAGUUGUUUGCUUACAUGGGAAACCUGUCAUGCUUUCUCUUGAACUAAUGGUGUAGCAGCAGUGGUCUAGGGACGUAGGGUGGUUCUGGCUACUUCCUACUACCUGUCUAAAGAAAAUUACAAAAAGUGAUUAUUUAAGACUUGUUAGCUUAUAUACAGUCUUACUGUGCCUUCUACUUUAAAAUACAAAGUGUUGGUCAUGAGAUGCAGAAAGACUUUUCCACAAACCAAAGUGUAAGAGUACAGUAUAAUGAAUUUACUGGAUUCACUUUUCUUCAAAAGGACCAGAAUCACCUGGAAACUCAGAAACAUGGCAGUAGCUCCAGUUAGAGAUGGCUGUGAUUUUGGAAGACUCUUCACACAAGGUAUCUCUCCCAGCUUCCAAGAUGCAGAGCAUCACCACUCCGAGGAAAGCUGGUAAGAAUGGGGUUUCAAUCCCUGAAAAAGCCCCAUGUACUGAGAUUUUUUUUUAGUGUAUGCAGUAACUAGAAAAGUAAUUUCCUUUAAGUAAAACUUAUUGUUAGGUUGAAUUAAUCACAACAGUGAGAAUUCACUGGUAUACUUAUGCAGGAGGUUUGGGGUUUCUUGGGGGGGGUCGGGUGGUAUUUUUUUAUUUCCCCAUCAUACACUGCUAAAUGCCAUCCAUACAGCUGCCCAGUUGGGCUGCUCCCAGGGCAUAAACAAACACUGGAUUUGCUAUUGGAUAUUCUUUCCUUAGUGCUGGGCUAGGUUUUGCCUCUGUAUGUUGGAGCCAAGUUCUAGUUCCCUGAAACGCAAGCAGUAACUGCCUGCUGCUUUACACAGGGCAGAUGAGGAGUGCUGGUCCCAUGUCAUGCCAAGAUCACUCAAGCAUGAACACCUUUGUCAAGCCCCACCGUAACAGGCUAGCAAAACAUGGCAGGGCACGGAUCUCAGCUUAAUGCUCAUGGUUACAUGAGGACUGCAGUUCUGCUGGUGACAACGGAGAACACUCACAACUCUGUUUCCUCACAGACUUUGGAUGAAGUGGUUAACUUGAGAAACACCUCCCACCCCACGCCGCUCAGUUAGCCAGGCCAUGGUUCCAAGUUUAGCAGCUAAUGAUCACAGCGUACCUCACACAACUGCUGUGAAAAUGGAUUCUGGUGUCUGUUCAAGAAGCUUCCACUUCAUAAGAUUUAUUUUCUUUUGUAGUCCAUAUAGGACAAACCCCCCAAAGUUACAGAAGGAUCUAUGUCCGAAUUAAGUCAGCUUCAUCAUUAGAGGGCACGUCUAUAUUAUUUUCCACUUGAACUUCUUUAAAAGAUGAAAGAAAACAAUUAAUUCCUUUUGGCACUCAUUAAUUAGGAGUUUGAGUGUGUUUGAUGUGCAUUUUAUCUUCUGCAGAUCGCUUACAGCACUAACAGGCAUUUUAUACUUUCAGUAACUCUGCUGUGACUUUAAGAUAUAAAUCCUCCUGUAGAUUUUUUUCCAGAAGCCCUAUAAAGCACAGAGAUGCAAUAACUUGUAAUUCUUUCUUGAAAAAUAUUAAGAGGAAUAACCCUCAAAGCAGCUAUAGCCACAGGCAACACCAACUCUGCAAUUUCUGUUGGCUCUGUCCUAUCUUGGUCCUACUUAUUUCAAGCACCAUUCACAGUUGUCUCUAGAAGUGCAGGGAUCUCCUUUGGACAGACCAGCUCCUCUAUUUGUUCUUUGACAUUUUCUGGAGCUCUGACUUUUCCCCUCUCUCUCUGAAAGCUUAUAUCAGGUUCCUUUAAUGUGGUGAAACCCCCAGGUGAGUCAGACCAGGGCCAGGCCCCAGCGAGUUGCUACAUGCUGCUGCAGAAUGGGGCGGUUCUUCCUGAAACCCCUUCUGCUGCUGCAGCACCCGAUGGAUGCCCACUGCUGAGGGACAUGGUGGGUCAUGUCCCUGCCAGCUGCGUGUGACCUACAUAACACUGACUGAGAAUUACAGCCCUGACAGCAUGUUGCUGUUUCUGGGCCCAAAAAGUAAGAGUGAAAAGCAUUAAUGUGUGCUAAUUUCACUUUGCAGCUCUUGGGAACAGUGAAAGCAGCAGAGCAGGAAUUGCUCACAGCAGAAAAAAUCCACAUAAAAGAGAGGGCGUGUGAGGGAAGAGGAGGAGAGACUUUUUUACACCUCUGUGAAGAGCUUCUGGGUGCCCAGUGAACGAGGGGUGGAGAACUUGCGAGCGGAUGCUGGAGCGCAGGGAGGAUGCAUGCUCCCGCGUGGGUUGUACCACAGCCAGGUCUGGGAUGUGGGGCUCCGCAAGUGUCAUGUUUUUGGGGCCGUGGUCUGAGCUAGGCAACUCACAGGCGCAGCUGUGACCACCGCAGCGUGCCACGGGGGAACCUGGCAUCCUGCUGGCAGUGCUGCCUGGCUGCCCCGCACAUACAGCUGCUGCCACCCCUGCCUGCACUGGCAUCUCACUGGGCAGCAGCAAGGUACAGCGCACUGACCACUGCUGGGUCAAAGUCACUCUCCAGCUAUACCAGCUGUUAACUCACUUACAGGUGCUGUACCAAGAAACUGAACCAAGUCCCAAGCCUGGAGUCCAUAGCCUCCUGCCUGUCGUGGCUUCCAAGAUGCUGUCCAGCACAGCAUAAAGCACGUGCUGCUCCUCGGGUUAUUGCAGAGACCACCAAAACACUACCAGGUCAGAGCCAAACCUCUCCCAGUCCAUAACCAAGAUGCUGAUCCCCAGAUCAGACUGGCAUCCUGCAGGCAGGAGAGCUGUGGCUCGCAACAGUGAAGGGUUGUGAGGACUCUGGUCUGUUUCAUUUAAGACAAGCGGGGAACACCAGCCACCACAGAUGAGACCGACCCACUGCACCUCUGUUCAGCAGAGAGGACCUGUGUCCCACCACCUCGCGCCAUCUGUUACUGCCACCUCCCACUUAAGGGUGAGCAGUAAAACAGCCCCACGCUGCUUCCCUGCAACCCUCUGUGGGAAGGGCAGGGGCUGGUAGGCUGUCAGACGUUGACCAGGACGGCAGAUAUGUACAUCCAGGCAAUGCUGAGCAAGUUGUUUUUAUGCCUUCCUGGAGCCUCUCAAUGCUUGUACCUCUGUAGUACCAAAAGCACUACAGCAGGAUGUCAGGUUCCCCCAUGGCACGCUGCGGUGGUCACAGCUGCACCUCAAUGAAGGUGAGACACAAACCCACCGGGAAAUUCUCCACGGUCUGCUCUCCCCUCCUCCGUCCCUUCAGCAUGCAAAUACGAGGCCAGUGCAGACCCAAACGUGACACUGUACCUACCCCAGCUGGUUUGCAGCGUUUCAGAACUGAAAGACUUAGUUAUUCAGCCUGAAAGAGUAUCGCUCCGCCGUUCAAAAGAAAACCACUACGUUUCAAAGCCGUGUUUAUACCAAAACGCAAAACACCCAA
Long non-coding RNA from Strigops habroptila (Kakapo), 6263 nucleotides. RefSeq lists it as uncharacterized. The record is from RefSeq and is a predicted model, not a curated record. Lineage: Eukaryota; Metazoa; Chordata; Aves; Psittaciformes; Psittacidae. The transcript has 3 exons.